Molecule: long non-coding RNA, 602 nt
Filed under: Cyanistes caeruleus (blue tit)
Lineage: Eukaryota; Metazoa; Chordata; Aves; Passeriformes; Paridae
Description: lncRNA (ENSCCEG00000016732.1)
Source: RNAcentral
GGCAUGGUCCCCUCUGACUUGAAUGAGAACCAGCCGAUAGUUCAUCCUGGUGUGCUGACAAAACUGCUUACAGUUCUGGAGAAAAUCAAGACAUGUAAUACUGACAAUGCCACACACCACGCAGAGGCUUGCAGGAUCAUUUCUAAUUUUAAUUCAACUUGUUUAAAUUCUGAUGAGAAUCCAACUUUUAUUUAAUUUUCUGCAAUCAAGCUGGAAGCUCUGCUGGCUCCACAAUAUUCAGAAACAUUACUCUCUCAGGGUGGUUGCAAGCAGCUUCCAGAUGCCCCCCUUUCCUAAGGCAGAGCUGUUGGAUGAGGGAGCCUUGGAGCCAGGAGCACUCAGGUGUUAGGAGCACUCCAGUGCUAGCAGCCCUGGCAGCAGCAUGGGAAUGUGGCUGCAGACCAGGUACACGUGUGAGCUGCUAUGAGGCCAAGGCAUUCCAGGACCUGAAGACCAACGGCCUCAAGAAAACUCUCCCUAGACCCAUGAAGGGACUAGAGGUCUGGGCUACAAAAUGUGACCCUUUGAGUGAUUGUGCAUCAUCUGGGGAAGGAACAAUGCUGCAGAGCAGGACCACAUCAUUCUCCAGAGUUUCUGCUUGA